AUUGCAACUCUUGCAGAUGUAUUUAUAUAAUCAGCCAAUAGGAAAGCAUUCAUACAUACAUUCAUCACAUGGAUGUUCCAUUGUUCAUAACAAUUCAACAUGAAUUUUAUAACAAUUAUAAAAUAUCAUAACAAACAACUCAUGUUAUUUUCAUUAUGAUAUCAUUCAUACACAUGUCAAUAAAGAUGUUCAAAAUUAUGGACAUAAGACCCAGCU
Molecule: long non-coding RNA, 216 nt
Filed under: Elaeis guineensis (African oil palm)
Lineage: Eukaryota; Viridiplantae; Streptophyta; Magnoliopsida; Arecales; Arecaceae
Description: long non-coding RNA (EGUI_LNC055939)
Source: RNAcentral